Molecule: ribosomal RNA, 626 nt
Filed under: uncultured fungus
Lineage: Eukaryota; Fungi
Description: eukaryotic LSU rRNA
Rfam family: 5.8S ribosomal RNA (bases 256-409)
Source: RNAcentral
CUUGGUCAUUUAGAGGAAGUAAAAGUCGUAACAAGGUUUCCGUAGGUGAACCUGCGGAAGGAUCAUUACACUCAGUAGUUUACUACUGUUAAGGAGGCUGUUAGUCUGUAUAGCUUAAUCGCUGAUGAGCAGCAGGCCUUCUUUCCACACCCUUGUCUUUUGCGUACCCAUGUUUCCUCGGCAGGCUUGCCUGCCGAUUGGACAAUCUAUAACCUUUUUAAUUUUUAUUCAGCGUCUGAAAAACUUAAUAAUUACAACUUUCAACAACGGAUCUCUUGGUUCUGGCAUCGAUGAAGAACGCAGCGAAAUGCGAUAAGUAGUGUGAAUUGCAGAAUUCAGUGAAUCAUCGAAUCUUUGAACGCACAUUGCGCCCUAUAGUAUUCUGUAGGGCAUGCAUGUUCGAGCGUCAUUUGUACCUUCAAGCUUUGCUUGGUGUUGGGUGUUUGUCCUCUCCCUGGUGUUUGGACUCGCCUUAAAACAAUUGGCAGCCAGUGUUUUGGUAUUGAAGCGCAGCACAAUUUGCGAUUCUGGCCUUAAAAUACUAGCGUCCAUAAGUACAUUCUCACUUUUGACCUCGGAUCAUGUAGGGAUACCCGCUGAACUUAAGCAUAUCAAUAAGCGGAGGA